GAUGAACGCUAGCGGCAGGCCUAAUACAUGCAAGCUGAACGGUAAAUAUUGUAGCAAUACAAUAUGAGAGUAGCGUAAGGGUGCGUAACACGUAUGCAAUCUGCCCUGUACAGGAGGAUAGCUCGGGGAAACCCGGAUUAAUACUCCGUAAUAUUAUUGGGAGGCAUCUCUUGAUAAUUAAAGUCGCAAGACGGUAUGGGAUGAGCAUGCGUCUGAUUAGCUAGUUGGUGGUGUAACGGACCACCAAGGCGAUGAUCAGUAGGGGAACUGAGAGGUUGAUCCCCCACACUGGCACUGAGAUACGGGCCAGACUCCUACGGGAGGCAGCAGUAGGGAAUAUUGGUCAAUGGAUGCAAGUCUGAACCAGCCAUGCCGCGUGCAGGAAGAAGGCCUUCUGGGUUGUAAACUGCUUUUGCCGGGGGAUAAAAAGUCCAUGCGUGGACAAUUGAAGGUACCCGGUGAAUAAGCCACGGCUAACUACGUGCC
This 486-nucleotide ribosomal RNA is filed under the name uncultured bacterium. Its description in RNAcentral is "bacterial SSU rRNA". It matches the Rfam family "Bacterial small subunit ribosomal RNA", at positions 28 to 509 of the family's 1533-position model. The record is from RNAcentral.